GGAUCUCUUGCACGAAGAGCAAUCAAGGAUUUGAUGGCUAGAGGUCUCAUCAGAAUGGUCUCUGCUCAUGCCAGCCAGGAGAUCUACACAAGGGCCACCAAUACCUAAUUUCCCUUUAUUAUUAUCUUUUGAGUUGCCAUGAAUUAGCCUCCUUACUCUAGUUUUUGCUUUUUGGUUUCAAUGUCUCCUUCACAUGGAUGCUAAAGUUUUGCAAUUUUUGACUUGUCAUAUCUUUCUUGUUAAUCCCUAUUUUUAUAUUAAGUUUCCAGACAUUUCAAAUUUAG
This 284-nucleotide unclassified non-coding RNA is filed under the name Hevea brasiliensis (rubber tree). Lineage: Eukaryota; Viridiplantae; Streptophyta; Magnoliopsida; Malpighiales; Euphorbiaceae. The record is from RNAcentral.